This 460-nucleotide ribosomal RNA is filed under the name uncultured bacterium. RNAcentral describes it as "SSU rRNA". It matches the Rfam family "Bacterial small subunit ribosomal RNA", at positions 26 to 518 of the family's 1533-position model. The record is from RNAcentral.
AGAAUCAACGCUGGCGGCGUGCCUAACACAUGCAAGUCGCACGAGAAAGGGGAGCAAUCCCUGAGUACAGUGGCGCACGGGUGAGUAACACGUGAAUAAUCUACCUCCGAGUGGGGAAUAACUGAGCGAAAUCUUAGCUAAUACCGCAUAAUACCCACGGGUCAAAGCAGCAAUGCGCUUGGAGAGGAGUUCGCGGCAGAUUAGUUAGUUGGCGGGGUAAUGGCCCACCAAGACGAUGAUCUGUAUCCGGCCUGAGAGGGCGCACGGACACACUGGAACUGAAACACGGUCCAGACUCCUACGGGAGGCAGCAGUGGGGAAUUUUGCGCAAUGGGGGAAACCCUGACGCAGCAACGCCGCGUGGAGGAUGAAGCCCCUUGGGGUGUAAACUCCUUUCGAUCGGGAAGAUAAUGACGGUACCGAUAUAAGAAGCCCCGGCUAACUUCGUGCCAGCAGCCGC